RNAcentral lists this ribosomal RNA (266 nucleotides) under uncultured bacterium. RNAcentral's name for it is "partial 16S ribosomal RNA". It matches the Rfam family "Bacterial small subunit ribosomal RNA", at positions 793 to 1055 of the family's 1533-position model. The record is from RNAcentral.
GUCCUAGCUGUAAACGGUGCGCACUUGCUGUAAGAGGAUUCGAACCCUUUUGUGGCGAAGUUAACACGUUAAGUGCGCCGCCUGGGGAGUACGGUCGCAAGACUAAAACUCAAAGAAAUUGACGGGGCCUGCACAAGCGGUGGAGUAUGUGGCUUAAUUCGAUGCAACGCGAAGAACCUUACCUAGCCUUGACAUGUAUGUAGUAGAAGCCUGAAAGGGUAACGAGGUAGCAAUACCAGCAUACACAGGUGCUGCAUGGCUGUCGU